CAGCGACGCCGCGUGGGGGAAGAAGGCCUUCGGGUCGUAAACCCCUGUUCUGGGGGAAGAAGCCUCACUUAGUGAAGAGCUAGGUGGGGUUGACGGUACUUCAGGAGAAAGCCACGGCUAACUGCGUGCCAGCAGCCGCGGUAAUACGCAGGUGGCGAGCGUUGCCCGGAGUUAUUGGGCGUAAAGGGUGCGUAGGCGGCGGGGUAAGUUGCCGGUUAAAGGCUGGGGCUCAACCCUAGUGGGGCCGGCAAUACUGCUCUGCUUGAGGGCCGGAGAGGCUGGUGGAAUUCCCGGUGUAGGGGUGAAAUCCGUAGAUAUCGGGAGGAACACCGGUGGGGAAGUCGGCCAUCUGGACGGUACCUGACGCUGAGGCACGAAAGCGUGGGGAGCAAACCGGAUUAGAUACCCGGGUAGUCCACGCUGUAAACGAUGGGUGCUAGGUCUGGGGAGGAAACUUUCUGGGCCGUAGCUAACGCGUUAAGCACCCCGCCUGGG
RNAcentral lists this ribosomal RNA (495 nucleotides) under uncultured Thermodesulfobacterium sp. RNAcentral describes it as "bacterial SSU rRNA". It matches the Rfam family "Bacterial small subunit ribosomal RNA", at positions 389 to 877 of the family's 1533-position model. Lineage: Bacteria; Pseudomonadati; Thermodesulfobacteriota; Thermodesulfobacteria; Thermodesulfobacteriales; Thermodesulfobacteriaceae. The record is from RNAcentral.